GGCUUUAUAGUCAAUAAUGAUAUUAGACUGCAAUUCUAAAGGAAUAAAUAAAAUUAUUAAGGCUU
Molecule: transfer RNA, 65 nt
Filed under: Metalimnobia quadrinotata
Lineage: Eukaryota; Metazoa; Arthropoda; Insecta; Diptera; Limoniidae
Description: tRNA-Cys
Source: RNAcentral